AACGGCUCGCCUCGCCUGCUUCAGCUGCUUGUCCGCGGCUCCUUCCUCUCCGCUGGGGGAGGCUCGUCGCUUUGCCCGGUUGGGGCGCGGGCGGGAAGGUCUCCGGCUUGGCGAGGGGGCGCUGUCGCCCAGCAAACCGUUGCGCGGGUUAAAGACGACCAGCAAAGAAACAGAAGGACCAGGCAAGCGUGCUGCUGAUCAGGAGUCCUUCUCUGGAGGAAAAGCACUCAGCCUCUCCCAGAGCCAGCUGUCAGAGGGAGAUUGAGGUGUGUUGUCGGAGGAAUAUAAAGCUACAAUCAGCUAGGCGCUCUCUGCCAGACGCCACUACCUGGAACUCAAUAGAUAUUCAUGAACCCGCCCGUCUUUAGUGAAGGAAAUAACUUAAUGCCGACAGAGUCGAUGGAAUAAUGGCCGCUUCCUGGCUGACUUGCAGCCCUCAGAAAAUGAGAUUGCACCUGCCUUCAUUUUUCUUGUCUUUUCCGAGUUUCUUGCAGCAGAAUGCGCCAGCAACGGGGGAUGCGCCCUGCAUUACUAAUGAGAUGCAGGAGGAGGCCCCCCUGGCUCUCCUGGCGGGCAACUCCCCUUUCCUCUCCAUCUGGCCAGAUGGGGUUCCUUUCAUACUCACUUGGGUUUGGAGGAGGCAGAAGGCAG
Crotalus tigris (Tiger rattlesnake) is the source of this 651-nucleotide long non-coding RNA. RefSeq lists it as uncharacterized. Lineage: Eukaryota; Metazoa; Chordata; Lepidosauria; Squamata; Viperidae. The transcript has 3 exons. The record is from RefSeq and is a predicted model, not a curated record.